CGAACCUGCCUCAUACAGAGGGAUAAUCAUGUGAAAACGUGACUAAUACCGCAUGUCAUUACUGGAGGGCAUCCUCCGGUAAGAAAAGGAGCAAUCCGGUAUGAGAUGGGCCCGCAUCUGAUUAGCUAGUUGGUGAGAUAACAGCCCACCAAGGCGACGAUCAGUAGCCGACCUGAGAGGGUGAUCGGCCACAUUGGGACUGAGACACGGCCCAA
This 215-nucleotide ribosomal RNA is filed under the name uncultured bacterium. RNAcentral's name for it is "partial 16S ribosomal RNA". It matches the Rfam family "Bacterial small subunit ribosomal RNA", at positions 122 to 334 of the family's 1533-position model. The record is from RNAcentral.